RNAcentral lists this ribosomal RNA (207 nucleotides) under uncultured delta proteobacterium. RNAcentral describes it as "partial 16S ribosomal RNA". It matches the Rfam family "Bacterial small subunit ribosomal RNA", at positions 568 to 774 of the family's 1533-position model. The record is from RNAcentral. Lineage: Bacteria; Deltaproteobacteria.
CGUGUAGGCGGCUUUGCAAGUCGGGUGUGAAAGCCCUCAGCUCAACUGAGGAAGUGCGCCCGAAACUGCAGAGCUUGAGUACCGGAGAGGGUGGCGGAAUUCCCCAAGUAGAGGUGAAAUUCGUAGAUAUGGGGAGGAACACCGGUGGCGAAGGCGGCCACCUGGACGGUCACUGACGCUGAGACGCGAAAGCGUGGGGAGCAAACA